This 87-nucleotide transfer RNA is filed under the name Rothia kristinae. RNAcentral describes it as "tRNA-Ala(cgc)". Lineage: Bacteria; Bacillati; Actinomycetota; Actinomycetes; Micrococcales; Micrococcaceae. The record is from RNAcentral.
CCCCCGGGGGCGGUCGGGGCCGGGCUGCCCGCCGCGGCCGCGAUGGCCUCGCCCAGCGAGGGGUCCUGUUCGAGGCAGGCCGGGGUG